AACGCACCUUGCGCUCCUUGGUAUUCCUUGGAGCAUGCCUGUUUGAGUAUCAUGAAAUUCUCAAAGUAAAUCUUUUGUUAAUUCAACUGGUUUGCUUUGGAUUUGGAGGUUUUGCAGAUUUCACAGUCUGCUCCUCUUAAAUAAAUUAGCUGGAUCUCAGUAUAUGCUUGGUUCCACUCGGCGUGAUAAGUAUCACUCGCUGAGGACACUGUAAAAGGUGGCCAGGAAAUGCAGAUGAACCGCUUCUAAUAGUCCAUUAAAUUGGACAAAUUAAAUUUAUGAUCUGAUCUCAAAUCAGGUAGGACUACCCGCUGAACUUAA
This 321-nucleotide unclassified non-coding RNA is filed under the name uncultured Ceratobasidium. RNAcentral's name for it is "partial contains 5.8S ribosomal RNA, internal transcribed spacer 2, and large subunit ribosomal RNA". Lineage: Eukaryota; Fungi; Basidiomycota; Agaricomycetes; Cantharellales; Ceratobasidiaceae. The record is from RNAcentral.